Molecule: non-coding RNA, 122 nt
Organism: Gossypium raimondii (Peruvian cotton)
Lineage: Eukaryota; Viridiplantae; Streptophyta; Magnoliopsida; Malvales; Malvaceae
Source: Rfam
AAUAGGAGAAUGACAAAUCAGAGUUUUCCACUUAAUUUUCAGUUUUUUUCUUCUGAAAAAAUUAAAUCCAACUAAAAAUGUUAAAAAUCAGGAAGAAAAUUUUAAUUUUUCAUUCUUCUAUU